GGACGUGCGGCGUGCUAAUACAUGCAAGUCGAGCGGACAGAAGGGAGCUUGCUCCCGGAUGUUAGCGGCGGACGGGUGAGUAACACGUGGGUAACCUGCCUGUAAGACUGGGAUAACUCCGGGAAACCGGAGCUAAUACCGGAUAGUUCCUUGAACCGCAUGGUUCAAGGAUGAAAGACGGUUUCGGCUGUCACUUACAGAUGGACCCGCGGCGCAUUAGCUAGUUGGUGAGGUAACGGCUCACCAAGGCGACGAUGCGUAGCCGACCUGAGAGGGUGAUCGGCCACACUGGGACUGAGACACGGCCCAGACUCCUACGGGAGGCAGCAGUAGGGAAUCUUCCGCAAUGGACGAAAGUCUGACGGAGCAACGCCGCGUGAGUGAUGAAGGUUUUCGGAUCGUAAAGCUCUGUUGUUAGGGAAGAACAAGUGCAAGAGUAACUGCUUGCACCUUGACGGUACCUAACCAGAAAGCCACGGCUAACUACGUGCCAGCAGCCGCGGUAAUACGUAGGUGGCAAGCGUUGUCCGGAAUUAUUGGGCGUAAAGGGCUCGCAGGCGGUUUCUUAAGUCUGAUGUGAAAGCCCCCGGCUCAACCGGGGAGGGUCAUUGGAAACUGGGAAACUUGAGUGCAGAAGAGGAGAGUGGAAUUCCACGUGUAGCGGUGAAAUGCGUAGAGAUGUGGAGGAACACCAGUGGCGAAGGCGACUCUCUGGUCUGUAACUGACGCUGAGGAGCGAAAGCGUGGGGAGCGAACAGGAUUAGA
Molecule: ribosomal RNA, 765 nt
Filed under: Bacillus pumilus
Lineage: Bacteria; Bacillati; Bacillota; Bacilli; Caryophanales; Bacillaceae
Description: bacterial SSU rRNA
Rfam family: Bacterial small subunit ribosomal RNA
Source: RNAcentral